AACUUUGUGACAAACUUCUGCUUUUCAUUUUGGAAAUAAGUGACUUAUCAGAGGAGUAAGGGACUUUAUGCUGCAGACUGAAUUCUGGGAGGAACGUUUCUCUGAAUUCCACUGGAUUCAGACACAACCACUUCAUUCUGACAAUAUAAUGAAGGUGGAAAAGGGCAGAUUUUUUUUCCCAGGAAGUCAGAAAAAAAAUGUGAUUAAAGGAUACAAUGAAAUACCAGAUUUUGGCUGCCAGAUUUUAAAAUGGUUUGCCAGGAAUGAAAGUCCUAUUUAUACAAGGCUUGUAAAGAGGAUAGCAGAACAGAUGACCAUGUUGAAACAAGCAUAAAGAGAAUGAGAAUGAAGUGAACUGUUCUUCAAAAUGUCAAGGCAGGCAAACAUUGGUGACCUUCAUGCAAACUGUCUCCAAAGUCAGUGCAGUUACACCAGAAUGUUUAUUUUUAAUUUUGUUCUCUAAUAAAGCAGCAGCAUUUUCCAACCUCAAAAAAGUCAUCUUUAUUUACUCAGCUGUAUUAUUGCUAUUAAUCAUUUAUAGAGUAUCAGAAAUUUUUAGUGUUUUACAACUUGAGACAUACGCUUACCUAAAAGAGUUUGGGGACAGAAGACAAAUCAUAUACUGUUAAAGCAUCACCUCACUUACCUAAGAGAAUCAGGAGAUAUUACAACAGAAGAAACAAGACAAGAAAUAUUACAACAGAAGAAACAAGAUAUAUUUGCAGUGAAGGAUUUCCAAGAGGGGUUUAAAGAAAAGGCUA
Long non-coding RNA from Pezoporus flaviventris, 761 nucleotides. RefSeq lists it as uncharacterized. The transcript is spliced from 3 exons. NCBI's taxonomy places the organism in Eukaryota, Metazoa, Chordata, Aves, Psittaciformes, Psittacidae. The record is from RefSeq and is a predicted model, not a curated record.